Molecule: ribosomal RNA, 441 nt
Filed under: Hylochares cruentatus
Lineage: Eukaryota; Metazoa; Arthropoda; Insecta; Coleoptera; Eucnemidae
Also listed under: 1 other name
Description: eukaryotic LSU rRNA
Rfam family: Eukaryotic large subunit ribosomal RNA
Source: RNAcentral
CCAAAGUGGCGACCCCGCACUCCCGGGGCGUCUCUCCUUUCUCGCUUCGGCAAGAUGGAGGCGCACCCAGAGCGUACACGCUGGGACCCGAAAGAUGGUGAACUAUGCCUGGUCAGGACGAAGUCAGGGGAAACCCUGAUGGAGGUCCGUAGCGAUUCUGACGUGCAAAUCGAUCGUAAGAACUGGGUAUAGGGGCGAAAGACUAAUCGAACCGUCUAGUAGCUGGUUCCCUCCGAAGUUUCCCUCAGGAUAGCUGGCGCUCCGGAUGUUGUUGCGAGUCUCAUCCGGUAAAGCGAAUGAUUAGAGGCAUUGGGGUCGAAACGGCCUCAACCUAUUCUCAAACUUUAAAUGGGUGAGAUCUCCGGCUUGCUUGAACAGUAAGUGUGAAGCCGGAGAUCGGAUCAGAGUGCCAAGUGGGCCACUUUUGGUAAGCAGAACUGG